CAACGCGAAGAACCUUACCUACUCUUGACAUCCACAGAAUUCGGCAGAGAUGCCUUAGUGCCUUCGGGAACUGUGAGACAGGUGCUGCAUGGCUGUCGUCAGCUCGUGUUGUGAAAUGUUGGGUUAAGUCCCGCAACGAGCGCAACCCUUAUCCUUUGUUGCCAGCACGUAAUGGUGGGAACUCAAAGGAGACUGCCGGUGAUAAACCGGAGGAAGGUGGGGAUGACGUCAAGUCAUCAUGGCCCUUACGAGUAGGGCUACACACGUGCUACAAUGGCGUAUACAAAGAGAAGCGAACUCGCGAGAGCCAGCGGACCUCAUAAAGUACGUCGUAGUCCGGAUCGGAGUCUGCAACUCGACUCCGUGAAGUCGGAAUCGCUAGUAAUCGUAGAUCAGAAUGCUACGGUGAAUACGUUCCCGGGCCUUGUACACACCGCCCGUCACACCAUGGGAGUGGGUUGCAAAAGAAGUAGGUAGCUUAACCUUCGGGAGGGCGCUUACCACUUUGUGAUUCAUGACUGGGGUGAAGUCGUAAC
RNAcentral lists this ribosomal RNA (536 nucleotides) under Serratia sp. 2617. RNAcentral's name for it is "bacterial SSU rRNA". It matches the Rfam family "Bacterial small subunit ribosomal RNA", at positions 957 to 1492 of the family's 1533-position model. The record is from RNAcentral. Lineage: Bacteria; Pseudomonadati; Pseudomonadota; Gammaproteobacteria; Enterobacterales; Yersiniaceae.